UUUCUUUAUGAAGCCGCGCUGGAAUGUGAUGGUCUAGAAGGUCAAAUUGACCAACACCUCUGGAAUUUUUUGUGGGCCGAGAGAACAGGUUCUUUCUUCCACUUCAUCAUCAUCAUCGUCAGUGCAAGAAUACAACACUA
This is a non-coding RNA of Caenorhabditis elegans, 140 nucleotides long. The record is from Ensembl. Lineage: Eukaryota; Metazoa; Nematoda; Chromadorea; Rhabditida; Rhabditidae.